AUUGAACGCUGGCGGCAGGCUUAACACAUGCAAGUCGAGCGGUAACAGAGAGACGCUUGCUUCUCUGCUGACGAGCGGCGGACGGGUGAGUAAUGCCUAGGAAUCUGCCUAGUAGUGGGGGAUAACUUGCCGAAAGGUAAGCUAAUACCGCAUACGUCCUACGGGAGAAAGGAGGGGACCUUCGGGCCUUUCGCUAUUAGAUGAGCCUAGGUCGGAUUAGUUAGUUGGUGAGGUAAUGGCUCACCAAGACCGCGAUCCGUAACUGGUCUGAGAGGAUGAUCAGUCACACUGGAACUGAGACACGGUCCAGACUCCUACGGGAGGCAGCAGUGGGGAAUAUUGGACAAUGGGGGGGAACCCUGAUCCAGCCAUGCCGCGUGUGUGAAGAAGGUCUUAGGAUUGUAAAGCACUUUAAGUUGGGAGGAAGAGCAGUUAACUAAUAUUUGACUGUUUUGACGUUACCGACAGAAUAAGCACCGGCUAACUUCGUG
This 491-nucleotide ribosomal RNA is filed under the name uncultured bacterium. RNAcentral's name for it is "partial 16S ribosomal RNA". It matches the Rfam family "Bacterial small subunit ribosomal RNA", at positions 30 to 507 of the family's 1533-position model. The record is from RNAcentral.